GUCCUUUAGAAUUUAAUUUAAGGUCUAGCCUGCCCACUGAUUUAUUUUAAAUGGCCGCAGUAAUUUGACUGUGCAAAGGUAGCAUAAUCAUUAGUUUUUUAAUUGAAAGCUUGUAUGAAAGGUUGGACGAGGUAAAAUCUGUCUCUAAUUAAUUUAAUUUAGAAUUUAACUUUUAAGUCAAAAGGCUUAAAUAUAAUUAAAAGACGAGAAGACCCUAUAGAUCUUUAUAAUUUAUUUAUUAAAUUUAAUUAAGAAUUUUUUAAAUUUUAUUAAUUUAAUUAUUUUAUUGGGGUAAUAUAAAGAUUAAAUUAAUUCUUUUUUUUUAUUAACAUUAAUUUAUGAUUUCAUGAUCCAAUUUUAUUGGCUAUAAGAUUAAGUUACCUUAGGGAUAACAGCGUUAUUUUUUUAGAGAGUUCUUAUCGAUAAAAAAGUUUACGACCUCGAUGUUGGAUUAAAGAUUAUUUCAGGUGUAGAAGUUUGAAAAUUUUGGUCUGUUCGACCAUUAAAUCUUUACAUGAUCUGAGUUCAGACCGGUGUAAGCCAGGUCGGUUUCUAUCUUUAAUAAAUUAAAAUAUUUUAGUACGAAAGGACCAAUUAUUUAAUAUAAAAUAUUUAAAUUUUGAUUAUUAUUAA
Molecule: ribosomal RNA, 633 nt
Filed under: Nebria lassenensis
Lineage: Eukaryota; Metazoa; Arthropoda; Insecta; Coleoptera; Carabidae
Description: partial large subunit ribosomal RNA
Rfam family: Bacterial large subunit ribosomal RNA (bases 388-547)
Source: RNAcentral